RNAcentral lists this ribosomal RNA (125 nucleotides) under Paenibacillus sambharensis. RNAcentral describes it as "Paenibacillus sp. SMB1 partial 16S ribosomal RNA". It matches the Rfam family "Bacterial small subunit ribosomal RNA", at positions 1416 to 1533 of the family's 1533-position model. Lineage: Bacteria; Bacillati; Bacillota; Bacilli; Caryophanales; Paenibacillaceae. The record is from RNAcentral.
AACACCCGAAGCCGGUGGGGUAACCGCAAGGAGCCAGCCGUCGAAGGUGGGGUAGAUGAUUGGGGUGAAGUCGUAACAAGGUAGCCGUAUCGGAAGGUGCGGCUGGAUCACCUCCUUUCUAAGGA